Long non-coding RNA from Pyrus x bretschneideri (Chinese white pear), 987 nucleotides. RefSeq lists it as uncharacterized. The record is from RefSeq and is a predicted model, not a curated record. Lineage: Eukaryota; Viridiplantae; Streptophyta; Magnoliopsida; Rosales; Rosaceae. The transcript has 2 exons.
UUCUCAUCAAACUGUGAUUUUACAUUCUCUCCCUAAAUUCAUUGGAAACGGCAUUUGAAAUGCUGUUUGAUGCUGUAAAAUCAGUGCAGGAGGAGACUAAAAUGUUCAAGCACCUCCUCGGAGACAUUAACUCUGCACUGGACUCUCCACAGCCACCCAUCAAAGACAUCGAAAAAUAUAACUCGAAAGAGGGACUGGAAUAUUUUGCAAUACAAAUGAAGGAGGGAGCAAAUCUUGUUCAAUAGUGCAGCAAAGUUGGCGUGUGGAGAAAAUACAAACACACCAACAAGCUUCAUCAACUGGAGCUUCAAAUCUCUUCGAAGAGUUUUUGAUGCGCUCAAAGUGCAGGGCAUAAGGGAUGCGAGGCUCAAAGUGCAUGGUAUAAGUCCAGUUGAUGAAGCUUGUUGGCGUACUUGUAUUUUCUCCACACGCCAACUUCGCUGCACUAUUGAACAAGAUUUGCUCCCUCCUCCAUUUGCAUUGCAAAAUAUUCCAGUCCCUCCUUCGAGUUAUAUUUUUCGAUAUCUUUGAAGAGUAAUGUGGAUUUGAUGUCUCCCAGGGGGUGCUCGAACAUUGUAGUCUCCUCCUGCACUGAUUUUAUAAAGAACAACAGAAAUUCCAAUGAGAAAUUUUGAUAACUAGCCACUUUUUUAUCACAAUAAAUUUAGUCUACCUUUUACAAUUCUUACAUAUCUAACCAAAUGUCUCUGUGAAAUUUAAAAAAUACCCUUGAAUUAAAGCGCUAAUUACCCUCUCUUACUCGUCCCUUUUCUUUUCAAAAUACCCUAAUAAAAUUUCAUCGAACUGAUAUUAUUUCGAUAGAUGACCAUCAUGAGAAAGACUAUUGACCAUGUAGAGUCAAGAAGAACAAGAGAAACAUCAUCGUAGAAAAUGUAAAUAGAAAUGUAUAUAUACUUUUUUACUACUUAUGAGGUGGACUCCGCUGAUUGUAAAGAGACAAAAAAUAAAUGAGAUCUCAAAUUUACA